CACGUAGGGCGCAAGCGUUGUCCGGAAUUAUUGGGCGUAAAGCGCGUGUAGGCGGUCCGGUAAGUCCGCUGUGAAAGUCGGGGGCUCAACCCUCGGAUGCCGGUGGAUACUGUCGGGCUUGAGUACGGAAGAGGCGAGUGGAAUUCCUGGUGUAGCGGUGAAAUGCGCAGAUAUCAGGAAGAACACCCGUGGCUAAGGCGGCUCUCUAGUACGGUACUGACGCUGAGACGCGAAAGCGUGGGGAGCGAACAGG
This 253-nucleotide ribosomal RNA is filed under the name uncultured bacterium. RNAcentral's name for it is "partial 16S ribosomal RNA". It matches the Rfam family "Bacterial small subunit ribosomal RNA", at positions 524 to 776 of the family's 1533-position model. The record is from RNAcentral.